UCAUAGAAGCAGUGAUGACGCAACAGAAGAACCUGCUUCAACAUGGGUAUGUGACGUCACAGAGGAUCUUUACAUUGCUUCCAGAAUUUUUGCGCUAAGAAGAUUAAAAGACCAAGAGAAAACGAAAGCGCAAGACGAAGAACAAAGACGAAGGCGCCAAUAUAAGGAUGCUGGUUUGAGGUGUUUGUAAGUUUAAGUGUGUAUAGGCCUAAUAUAGGGUGUACGCGCGAAGAAAGAGGAUCAAAGACGAAACCCUCAGACGAAGAACAAAGACGAAGGCGCCAAUAUAAGGAUGCUGGUUUGAGGUGUUUGUAGGUUUAAGUGUGUAUAGGCCUAAUAUAGGGUGUACGCGCGAAGAAAGAAGAUCAAAGACGAAGACGCCGCUAAGGGAUGUCGGUUUCAGGUGGUUUAGGUUUAGUGUUUAAGUAUGAAUGUGUUUGUAUGUGUUAUAGGCGGUGCACUCUUACAGUGUUGCCAGCUACAUUUGCUGGACCUAAUCUUGCCAGCUAAUGCAAAUGAAUUGUUGCAACAAUCUUACUUGAUAAAGAAUGGCAUCUACUGUAGUGUUCAUUUCAUUAAAGUGUUUUACCUGUCGGGACUUGAAUCUUACAGCGGUUUUGUAUUGUCUCUGUUAGCUUUGCGAGAACUCUUGUCUUGGUACACAUAUACUCGAGUAAUAUCAACGCGCAUUAUAAUAUUUACACUUAACUUUUAG
This is a non-coding RNA of Ciona intestinalis (vase tunicate), 715 nucleotides long. Lineage: Eukaryota; Metazoa; Chordata; Ascidiacea; Phlebobranchia; Cionidae. The record is from RefSeq and is a predicted model, not a curated record.